UGGUUUACAUUUAUAUUCAUCGGUGUGAGGUGUUCAAUCUUCUUUCAUUGGUAUCAGAGCUAGGGUUUUAAGGUGAGAGAACUGAAGGUGUCGCUAGGGUUUCACAUAGCUGGGUGUUUUGAGGCUUGGUGUUUACUGGCGUCCAAUCAUAUACUUUUAUUUAUUUGUGCUAGCUAAUUCUUUUCAUUCAUUUGGUCUGGUAUGUGUCUGUUACUCUUUACAACAAUUAAUUGUUUCAAACAUGUAUGUUCUGUAUCCAGGUAAUUUUAUUGAUAUAAUUGUUGAUCAUUUUUUAACAAGGUGAAUUAUAUCUUUGAGUUGCAUCUUUUAUUGUUAAUUGUAAAUCUUUAAUUUGUGACAUGUUGUUAUGUUUUUUAAAUUUUAUUAUAUAAAUUGUUGGCAUGUUAUAUAAUUUAUUUGCAUGUGUUAUGUUGUUUAUUAGUUGUCAAAAAAUUGAUUUUGUAAUUAAAUAUGCCAUAUUCAUAUCUUGUUGACAUGUUUAAAUUGUGAUAGCUGAUAUAUUUUUUUUGUGUGUGUUGGUAAUAUUUAUAUAUUUGAUUCUUUAUUUUUUAUGAUAGAUUAUUAAUUUUUGCUUGAUGUCUGUCUAUUAUAUAUGUGACAAUUAUAUGCAUAUGUGCUAAUUUUUCCAUGUUUAGGGUUUAUAUAAUUAACAUGCAUGAUUUAUUAUUUGUUUAACAUGUUAUGAAUGCAUAUAUGUUGUUGAUAUUUUAAUUGCCUUGUAUAUGUCAGUAGAUUAAUUAAUUGUAUAUCAUGACAUGUUAAUUGUUAAUUUAGCUUUUAUAAUUCACUUGUUUUAUUUGUCUCGAGUAUAAUUAUUGUAUGCAUAUCUUGUUAAAAUGUAUUAUAUUUUUUAUCUGAAUAUGUUUGCAUGUUUAGUUAUUUGUUAAUUAUUCUGCUUGUAUAGAUUUUUUGUGAGGUAGGUUAUAUUCAUAUGUUAAUUUAUUUUUGUCUCUAGUUUUUUGUAUCUAGCAUGCUUAGUUAUAUAUUUAUUUUAAUUAAAUGUGUUUAUUUUUAUGUGGCUCGGGUUUUAUUGUUUAUGUGAUUUUAUUGUUGUUUUUAUUUUAUACAUGCUUACUGUAUGUUAUUUGUUAAUUGUUUAAUUUUGUAUUCACAUGUUUUUAAUCUAAUCUCUGUGUUAAUAUAAUUGUUUUUAUCUAUCUGCCAAUUUUGUUUUAUAAUUAGUUUGUUUAUACCUUCUCUGUUAUAACCUGUUUAUAUAAAACUAUACUUACGUAUAUUGUAUCUCUUUGGUAGAUACAAAGAAAUGGCGAGCAAAUUGAUUGCAUCGGAACUGGCCAAAACAGAGAGGCUCAAUGGCACAAACUAUGAUAUGUGGAGCCGGAAAAUUCGAUAUGGAUUAAUCCAUGACAAUCUAGAGAGUGCAAUUGAAGAGGCUGCACCAAAAUUGGGAAAGGAAGCUACUGAUGCUAAAAAGAAAGAAUUUGACACAUGGAAGCUGUGUGACAAGAAAGCCAAAAGCCUCAUGCUGAUGUUUAUGGAUGAUAAUCUCAUCAAAGUUUUUGAGGUCUACACUACUGCAAAAGAUAUGUGGGAUGCAAUCAAAGAAAAGUAUGACACCACUUCUGAGGUGAAUGUGCAGCUCCUUCUGCACAGGUACAACACUUGCAAAAUGAAGGAAAAUGAAAAUGUUAUUGAUCACUGCAACAAAAUGAUUGUGAUGGCCAAGGACUUGGCAGCUGCUGGUAAUGAACUUUCAGAAAAUAUGCAGAUUGCUGGGAUAUUAAACAGUUUGCCUCGCUCUUUGGACAUGGUUGCAACAACUCUAAGGCACAGUGGAAAAAUUAAUAAGGUUGAUGAUCUUCCAAGUGCACUUGCUGUGGAGCAAGAUUUGGUGAAUAGCAGAAAAGAGCCAGAGCUGAAUAUUGUGCAAGAAGAUGAAUCUAACAUUGCUCGUGGGUAUCCAAAAAAUCACCACAAAAAUCAAAACAGAAUUGGUCCCUCAAAAGGGAAGAACUUCAAGCCACAAAAGUGGCAGAAGAANGAUCAUGAUUNNNNNNNNNNNNNNNNNNNNNNNNNNNNNNNNNNNNNNNNNNNNNNNNNNNNNNNNNNNNNNNNNNNNNNNNNNNNNNNNNNNNNNNNNNNNNNNNNNNNNNNNNNNNNNNNNNNNNNNNNNNNNNNNNNNNNNNNNNNNNNNNNNNNNNNNNNNNNNNNNNNNNNNNNNNNNNNNNNNNNNNNNNNNNNNNNNNNNNNNNNNNNNNNNNNNNNNNNNNNNNNNNNNNNNNNNNNNNNNNNNNNNNNNNNNNNNNNNNNNNNNNNNNNNNNNNNNNNNNNNNNNNNNNNNNNNNNNNNNNNNNNNNNNNNNNNNNNNNNNNNNNNNNNNNNNNNNNNNNNNNNNNNNNNNNNNNNNNNNNNNNNNNNNNNNNNNNNNNNNNNNNNNNNNNNNNNNNNNNNNNNNNNNNNNNNNNNNNNNNNNNNNNNNNNNNNNNNNNNNNNNNNNNNNNNNNNNNNNNNNNNNNNNNNNNNNNNNNNNNNNNNNNNNNNNNNNNNNNNNNNNNNNNNNNNNNNNNNNNNNNNNNNNNNNNNNNNNNNNNNNNNNNNNNNNNNNNNNNNNNNNNNNNNNNNNNNNNNNNNNNNNNNNNNNNNNNNNNNNNNNNNNNNNNNNNNNNNNNNNNNNNNNNNNNNNNNNNNNNNNNNNNNNNNNNNNNNNNNNNNNNNNNNNNNNNNNNNNNNNNNNNNNNNNNNNNNNNNNNNNNNNNNNNNNNNNNNNNNNNNNNNNNNNNNNNNNNNNNNNNNNNNNNNNNNNNNNNNNNNNNNNNNNNNNNNNNNNNNNNNNNNNNNNNNNNNNNNNNNNNNNNNNNNNNNNNNNNNNNNNNNNNNNNNNNNNNNNNNNNNNNNNNNNNNNNNNNNNNNNNNNNNNNNNNNNNNNNNNNNNNNNNNNNNNNNNNNNNNNNNNNNNNNNNNNNNNNNNNNNNNNNNNNNNNNNNNNNNNNNNNNNNNNNNNNNNNNNNNNNNNNNNNNNNNNNNNNNNNNNNNNNNNNNNNNNNNNNNNNNNNNNNNNNNNNNNNNNNNNNNNNNNNNNNNNNNNNNNNNNNNNNNNNNNNNNNNNNNNNNNNNNNNNNNNNNNNNNNNNNNNNNNNNNNNNNNNNNNNNNNNNNNNNNNNNNNNNNNNNNNNNNNNNNNNNNNNNNNNNNNNNNNNNNNNNNNNNNNNNNNNNNNNNNNNNNNNNNNNNNNNNNNNNNNNNNNNNNNNNNNGGAGAUGCAUUGCUUACUGCAAAUUAUACAUUAAAUAGUAUUCCCACAAAAUCUGUUGCGUCAACCCCUUAUGAAAUAUGGACUAGAAGAAAACCAGAUCUAAGCAAAAUGAGAAAAUGGGGAUGCAUUGCACAUGUAAUGAUCCCUUAUCAAAAUAGAGACAAGUUGGAUUUCAGAACUUUGAAGUGUAACUUCAUUGGUUAUUCGGAACCAUCUAAAGGUUAUGUAUUCUAUAACAAGGAAAAAGGAAUGAUAGAAAGUAGAGAUGCUACUUUCUUGGAGAAUUCUGAAGAACAAGAGGAUAUUAUAGAAGAACAAAAUCCUUUGUCAAUAAUAGAUGAUGAUCAUGAUACAGAAGAGUUGCCUCGUGAUAACACGAUUGGUGAAAAUGAGCCAAAUAGUAUCAUUGGUGUUAAGAGAACAAGAGAACCGCCUGCAUGGAUGGAUGACUAUUAUGUGUACAAUAUUGAGGCGUCUUGUUUCUCAGUAGACAUGGAAAUUGGUGACCCGAUAGAUCCUAAAACAUUUACUGAAGCAAUGAAAUCACCAGAAUCCACAUUAUGGUUGAAUGCCAUGAGAGAUGAACUUGAUUCAAUUGAAAAGAAUAAUGUGUGGGAACUAUGUGAUUUGCCUAAAGGCAGAAAAUCUAUUGGAUGUAAAUGGAUUUUAAAAAGAAAAUAUUUGGCUGAUGGAUCUAUUGAUAAAUACAAGGCUAGAUUGGUUGCAAAGGGGUUCACCCAAAAACCGGGAAUUGAUUAUCAAGAAACAUAUUCUCCGGUGGCUAAGUUUGCAUCAAUACGUAUGAUAUUGGCUAUAGUUGCUUGUCUUGAUUUGGAACUUUUCCAAAUGGAUGUAAAGACUGCUUUUCUUAAUGGAGAUCUAAGGGAAGAGAUAUACAUGGAUCAACCUGAAGGUUUUCAGGUUGAGGGUUGUGAAGACAAAGUUUAUAAGUUGAAAAAGACAUUAUAUGGACUUAGACAAUCGUCUAGAGAAUGGAAUCUCAAAUUUAAUAAUACUAUGAUUCAGCUUGGUUUCAUAUCUAACAAAUUAGAUAGAUGUGUUUACACUUUGAAAAGUGGGAGCUCAUUUGCGAUAUUGUCAUUGUAUGUGGAUGACAUAUUAUUGGCUGGAAAUGACAUAGAGAUGUUGAAUAAAAUCAAGUUGGAACUUGGUAGUGAAUUUGAGAUGAAGACAUGGGUGAGGCGUCAUAUGUUCUAGGAAUUGAAAUCAUAAGAGAUAGAAAAAAUAGAACAUUGAGCCUAAAUCAAGAAAGGUAUCUUCGUAAAGUGCUUAAUCGUUUUGGGAUGCAGAAUUGCAGUCCGGCGCCAACUCCAUUAGUAAUGGGGAAACGACUAACAAAGAGUAAAGAUCUCGAAGAGGGACAAGAAUUACUAGACAAACCAUAUGCAGAAGCAGUUGGAAGCUUAAUGUAUGCUAUGUUGUGCACAAGACCUGAUUUGGCAUAUCCGGUUAGUCUAGUUAGCAGAUACCAAAGUAAUCCUAGUCAAGCUCAUUGGGAAGCUGUUAAGAGGAUUAUGAAGUACUUGAAAGGUACAUUGCAUCACAAGUUGGUUUAUAGAGCGGACGCGCUUGAUAUUAUUGGUUACUCCGAUGCUGAUUUAGGAGGAGAUAAAGAUGAUGGAAAGUCGACUUCUGGUCACCUAUUUAUUUUAGGUGGAGCUGCUGUAUGUUGGGGCAGUAAGAAACAAGGGUGUGUUGCAAGAUACACACAAGAAGCUGAGUAUAUAGCUUGUAGUAUGGCUGCUACUCAUGCUGUCUGGAUAAGACGUUUCUUAUUGGAUUUAAAUCUCAAUUUAAUGAACGGGCCCAUUGAGAUUUAUUGUGAUAAUACAUCAGCAAUUGAUUUGAUUUAUAGUGGUGCAAACAGUUCGAAAGGACAACAUAUAGAAAUACAAUAUCAUUAUAUUCAUGAUAUAGUAGUGGAAAAGGAAGAGGUCAAAGUGACUUAUAUUCCUACUACUGAUAUGCUUGCGGAUUCUUUGACAAAAGCAAUUCCAGCCGAGACAUUUAUCAAACAUGUUAGUUUGAUGGGGUUAAGAAAUACUUGAGAUAGAACGCACGAAAAGUGGGAGUAUAGUAUGAUGUGUGUAAACAUUUCAAAAUCUUGGCUAAGCAGCCAAGUGGGAGAUGUUAGUUUGUGGCUUUGACUUAGCCAUGCAUUUUGAAUUAACCUAUAAAAUAGGUUUAUUUUAAAACAAAUAGAUAGCAUUAUGUGAUAAGUGGAUAAGUGGCUAACGUGAUGAGGCGGUUGCUGAAAGGACGGAAAGGAGGUUGUGAAUAGCCUCAAUAAAUAGCUGAUGCGCAAGCUUCAGAAGAACAUAACAAAAUACAGUAUACAAUCUUCUUGGAGUCCUAAAGCAAUAUACAUAUAUUUAUCUGGUUUACAUUUAUAUUCAUCGGUGUGAGGUGUUCAAUCUUCUUUCAAGCAUAGAGGUUUUUACGGGAUUUCAUCCCAACAAGUUAGGUUGCAAGGAAUAAGCUUGUGCAGAUAUGGUUAAUUCAACUUCAAAAGACAGUACCAUGAGCAACUGAGUAAUGCAGUAUAAAUAAAGUAAUCAAAACAUAAAUCAUGCAUAUAUCUCGCCUUUAAAAUUUACAGUUGUAAGCUAUUUCACCUGUUCCCUACAAACAAUUCAUAGAGAUCGUGGUGGACCAAAACACCAGGACUUUGUCCCAACCUACUUAUAUCAGAAUUUUCUUAUUUAUAUUGCCCAGGCACACACAAUGAAGUUGACCUCAAUGUGGAAUGUUGGUCAGAAGAAGAGAUAAGGCAUUAGUUUCUUAGUGCAUUCCAGAGUCACUAUAUAUGUUUGACUACCUCAAGAUUAAGGUUUUAAGUAGAUCAAGCUGAUUCUAAAUGUCCUGCCAAGAGCUAAAACGCCAGAAUACAGUCCAAGACAGCGUGAUUAAAUAAAUAGAAGCCCAUAAUUUGAAGUUAUCAAAUCACAUUAAUGUUUUCACAGGAUGUUACACAAGGGCCGCAAUCAAGAGAGAACCUACCCUUAGAAUAGAACCUUAGAACUACUAAGGUCCUGCUGCAGAACCCUAAAUUUUAAAUAGAUUUUCUGGAUCUAAAUCUAAAUACAUGUUGUUUGCAUUGUUGUGUGUGUUCAAAAAUAAUUUCAAAAUAUAAUACAUAAACAUGACACUUUUUGCAUGUGCAGUUCUGCUGCAGAACCCUAAUUAAUACUAGAAAUAAGGCUAAGGGUUCUAAGAGGAACAUGACUCUAUGUUAUACAAUUACUUAGAUACAUGUGUACAAAUUCAGUUGGCGAAAUUAAAUAAAUAGAAGCCCAUAAUUUUAUUUUUUUUGUCACAAAUAGAAUCCCAUAAUUUGAAGUUAUGAAAUUACCUUGAUGUUCUCACAGGAUUUUAUGCAAUUAUUUAUGUACAUGUGUACAAAUUCAGUUGGGAGUUCAACAGCCGUAGUAAGUCUGUUGACAACUUCCAUUGAAUGAAGGCUCAUGUCCAUGCUGACAAGAACUACUAAGUACCUUAAUUUAUUAAAAAACAUAUUAAACAACUGUUAUAGAAUAAUACAAUAUUCCAUUUGGAAAAAUAUUUGGAAUAUUAAAAUGAGGUACAUACUCGGCUAUUUCAGCUGAAUGUAUCAGCUUAAUGAGAACUUCAACCGCGAUUAAAGGAUUAUUCUCCACCAAUUCCUAAUAGCAAACGAGUAGCCUUUUGUGAUUCUAGGAACAGCAAAUUUAGUAAAAUGACCACAGAUAGCUAAAUACAUACCGGCAACUUUUUUGGUGUCAAUCCAGAGUGAUAUACAAGCUUUGGAUCGUUACCCAACUCAAAGAGAACCCGCUACAGAGCAUAAAGAGAAAACGUUAGGCAACAAAACAGGCUACUACAUAUUCAUUCAAAAUUAACCAUCAAUAAAAUCGAUUCACAGUAUAUCCGGUAAAGUAUGCUUAAUACAGAUGGGACUCCACUUUGCUCUUUGUUUUGGAGAUGAGAAUCAGUUGGAUGAAUAUUAGUAAAAUUUUACAUCCAUAACUUGCGAUUCCAGAUUUUCAUGAUGGUUAGAAUGCCAUGGGAUUUUUAAGAUUGCAAAGUACAUUUAAAAAAAAUUCAAGAGCAUGAUCUCAUUAAAGGUCUCAUUUAGCAAUGCAAUUACUUGACAGUUCCUUGUACAAAGGUUUAUAAGUUGGGGAAUUAUUUUGAGAAGUAAUCAGUACCGUGCAUUUCCUCAGAUUCGAAGAUAGCAUCUCUAAACAAACCACAACUCAGUUCUCAUAAUUACGAUAAUAAAGAAAUUACGGAGGCUUGAUUGUUGAGAAAAUUCCUUAAUUGGCUAAAUAAUACUCCCUCUGUCCCAUUUAAUUCUAUACGUUUCUUUUUAACUGCUCGACACGCAUUUCAAUGCUCUUAUAAAAUAUAGUUCCGUAACUUUUUUUUGAGAUUUUCUUUUUCUGUAUAAAAAUAUAACAUCCAAACUUUAAUACAGAAAAGAAAAAUUUUAAAAACAAAUUGCACAACUACAUUUUGCAGGAGCAUUAAAGUCCGUGCCGCGUCCCCGUCCCCCAAUGUAUACAACUCAGGGGGACGGAGGGAGUAAUAAUUUGUGGAAGUUCUCAACUUAGAUCUGUAAAUUCACUGAACCAUGCUCGUAUCUAGACCUCAAAGAAUUUAGUACUAUCAGCAGCCCAAUGGUCCUUAAUAUACUUUGUUUUAAGAAAAACAAGUGCCUCUUCAAGCUAGACCACAAACCUCUACAAGCACCCUAACAUUCUUUAUAUUUGGCUCUUGGAGUAGGGCAUCCAUACCUCUGCUUUUUUUUUCUGCCAUCAGAUCCAGAUCUUAGAUCAUCUAUACUGCUCACUUUGUACUUUGUAGCUUACUCCAGCAAUUAGAAUAAACUAUUAUUAAGCUAUCUAAUCCUGCCGAAUGAAUUCUCCAGUACUGUCAACUGUGUGUAUAAAAUAUUUAUUUAAAUAAGUGCGUUUAUAAUGUGGAUGAGCAGACAAGUCACAAUUCCAAGAUAAAUUUCAAUUAAAUAAUAGGAAGGAUCAGAAAUUAAUGAAGCAUAUCUGACUACUAUUUAGGUGCAUAUGCAGAUGAAGCAGUGUAAAGGAAGAGAGAACCUCUUGUUGAGCAGGGGCAAGUGGCCCCUUCAAAGCUUUUGCUAUUAAAUCCCUAACAGCUGCCCCUUUACUGGUAUCCGCACACAUCCCGUUGUCCCAUAGCAGCUCAUGAUGAUUCUCGGGGUUAAGCCAAACAAGCUGCAAGAACUCAACAGGGGUAAGGUUAAUUACUCAGUAAAGCAGAAUUAACUUUUCAAACCUAUUUGGGACUCACUUCAUCAUACUGUACUGGGAGCCUCGGUGGAUGAGGCCUAAUCCACUGAGGACCUAAUCCUUGCAAUGACAAUUUUUCUACUAACUCGGUAACUGUCUCAUCUCUAUCCCCAGCUCCAAUUUUGGGCUUGGCUCCAGGCUGUAGAUCAAACCUGAAAUAUAUCAUAAAUGAUAUGGAAAUGGGUAACAUUCAAUCAGAAUUGUAUAAGAUAAAGCAUAUGAAACUGUAUUGUAUAGAGACAAGAAAUGAAAUAUCCUAAAUAGUACUCCCUCCGUCCCCCUCAUUUGUUUACAUUGGGGGACGGGGGCUCGGCACGCAUUCUAAUGCUCUCAUAAAAUGUAGUUCGAUAAAUUAUUUUGAACUUUUUUUUCUUCUGAAUAAAAAUUUGAUGUUUAAAUUUUUAUACAAAAAAGAAAAAUUUUAAAAAUAAGUUAUAGAACUAUGUUUUAUAUGUGCCUUAAAAUGCGUGUCGAGCAGUGUGAAAAAAGUGUAAAGAAAUGAGAGGGACAGAGGGAGUAACAAACUAAUUGACGUGUUACAACAGGAGUCGUACUCAGAUGAUUCAACAUCACAACCACUGGGUAUAUCAAGGUCUGCCACCACAUUUUUAACAGAAGUGUCUUUGAAUAAGCAAUGAUAUUGUUCUGGGUGAAUAUUUUCACAAAAUUGCUGCUGCAACUGAUCAUGUUGUGGGAAAGGCUGAAACCAAGUUAACAGUGAUUAGACCAAAAUUUGUCAGGUAAACUAAUUAAAUGUCCUUUCAACAUAUGCAAGUAAAAAGUGUCAUCAGUUUGGAUUGUUUAUGCAGGUCAACUAUGUAACUUAGGACCAUGAACCAGACGUGAUCAUACCUAUAAUUUAACUGAAACAUAAUGCACAAAAUAAGAAUGUGACAAAUGAUCAAAUCAGAAAGUAUGCAGUUCACACCAAAUGGCUUCAGGAAGGUAGCAGUCUGUUCGAACUGUAAAAGAUUGUGCCUGCAUCAUUCUUCGAAAAGCCUUUUAUUCUUUGUUAUAACAUGAUUAAUAUAUCGGUCUAAAAUAUAUCUUACAAGGCACUAAUUUAAAUCAACAUAUUCAUUCCCCAAUGAUUCAAAUAAUAUACACAUGUGCUUCGUAUGUUCCACUCCAGCUGUCGACCUUAAGGUUAAUGUUACGAGACUAAAAUCCUACUGUAAAAGUGGACUCUUUAAGUUAUCCGGACACGGGUAUGGGUAUCGGACACGGGUACAGAUCCAAGAGUCAGAUUCGUAGUUUUAGGAUAAUUAGGAUUCGUGGAUGUGGAUCCGGAAUUAGACUCGGGUACGGGGACUUGGCACUUAAGCUCCAUGCAAGUCAAACUUAAUAUAGCCUGAUUUAUGGUACAUUCAUAAAAAUAGUGUCUAUUGCACAUAAAUCACAUAUGCUGAAAAUUGAAGCAUAAAAUCAAUAGAACAACAUAGAAACAAGUCAUUCAUGGAUCUUGAUCUCUAUAAACAAGUUGGAACAAGACCUAAGUUUUCAUUUUGACAUGGGAUGUUACAAGGUGAGGUGUCCGGUUGUAAUAAGAAGGAUCCGACACAGAUCCCAUACCCACACCCAUGUCAUGUCCGGUGGACACGGGUAUAGGCACAAAAAUGGAGAGUCCGGGUAACAUAGCUCUUUAGAGUUAGAAUUAGGACUAACUCGACAAAUGGAAAGCUAAAUAAAAACCACAACUGCAAAUCAACAUCUAAUUUGUUCGCUACAAAUAAUUUCAAUGUUUUACAAAAAUGAGAACAAAUAGGCAUAUAAAAUAAAAUAUUAUGAACAAGAGAUAGAGGCCCCAUUUUUCAUUCUUAAAUAAGGCCAUACAUAUAAAUGAGAUGCCUGGACACAUUUCUAUAUAGUAUGGUACUGUAAACAUAACAACAUGGGUGUCUAUUGGAUGACUUCAUAAAUAAAACAAUAAACUUAAAGUCAUCACAGGUUCGAAGGUGAUUCUUGUAUGGUACUCUAUGGAGUCUUUCUAUAAAUUUAUAUCCAUGAAGUCUUCCGGACGAAACAUAAUAGUUAGAGAGUUCAAAUAUAUGAUGUUUAGAGCCAACCAGGAGUAACUGACCCGGUGACCCCAAGAUCUAAGCACCCAUAUAUUCAACUAUUCAGAACUAUUCAGAUUAACAUCAGUUGCAGAGUAGAGGUGAUAUGUAUAUGAGUUAAAUUCUGCGUUAACUACACUCCACAUCUAACACAACUUACAUGUAAAGCACUAUCAAAACUUCUUAUGUAGUCCACUGCAGAUUGCUUUAGAACCUGAAUAAGACAUAAAUGAUGGGAAACCAUAGUCAGGACUUAUGGAAACCGUAAUACUUGGAACUUAAAACAAUAAUAAAACUAUGGAAAACCACCAUCAUGAGUCGUUAAAAACCAUAUCUUAAAGGUUAUCUAUUAAUACUCAGUACAUAAUUUAAAGAGACAAGAUAACAUGAAAACAUAAACAAACCACAGAAUAUAAGAUAGUAUUUGUUAAUGUGUCCAGGAAAUCAUAUGCAUUGAGAAAACUUUAAACAAUCACCCACAGGCCACAUCAGUUCAUAUGAAAAAGAUUAGUGUUACUCGGUCAGUUUUGCCACUAAUAAGAAGCUGGCCAAAAAACAUUAAUUGAUUUUAGCUUUUUUGUGAUUGACUUAAUCUAACAAACAGCUAGUUGCCAAAAUAGUAUGCACAAUGUGAAGGAAAAAUUAUGAAUCCUUUUAAAUAGCAAACGAUAAUUAACAUAAAUCUCGGACAAUUAGAACUUCAAACAGUAAAAAUAAUAUAUAGAAAUUAAGGAAGUCAACUAAUUUAGUGGAGGAAGGAAAAGAAAACCUCUUUAUUACUUGGAGAGCUAGAUGACUCUAAUAACAGAAUUAUAAAUGCCCUCUCGAAUUUCUCCGCAUCAUGAUCACCUGCUGCCUACGAAUGCCCAGGAAAUAAUAGAACAAAGAUAUUCAUUACAAUCAUGAGAUCAGCAACAUAAUGCAAUAUUUUUCUGCCUAGUCCUAGAAACCUUCAGUAGCAUGGUUACUUAUCAGUAUAAGAAACCAAUACUUCUAAGAAAGAAUUAUUAUUAAAUGCGUAGCUAUAUAGAUCACAUAUUUGUUAAUAGAGAUGUCAUCUUUUACAAUUUGUACAUGUAGAGGCAUUAAAGAAUCAGAAAUAAUUCUUAGUCAGAGCUAAUAUAUAAAUGUCAUAGCACCAGAAAUAUAUAGGUUGUACAUAACCACCUACAUCUACUAGCAAAGAAAUGAAAGGGUUUGAUGAAGUCUUCUGGGAGGAAUAAGCCUGAUAUAGUAUAGCGAAUGCAACCAAACGCUGGGAAGAUCUGAGCAUUUUCUUAUCCUGCAAAUAUACAAAAAUUGAUAAUUAAUAAGUAUCACUUAGUUGGCAACUACAUACAUACAUGCAACAUAGUAAAGCAUAUUUAACUGUAACAUAUAUGAUUUCAAGGAAAAUAUUUAAUUAUAAAUUAUAUAUCUAUUCUAAUCAAAAAUAUCUAUGAUUAUUUGCAGCUAAUAAUAUCUAGCACCAAAGCAAAAUGAUUAUGCUUUUCAUAUGUUAAGUUGAUUCCGAGAACAAAAGUAAGUGAAGUGUGAGUAUGAUAUGUAUACCUUAUAAACGAUACAUCUUAAUUAUAUUGCUAAAAUAACUCUCAAGUUUUAACCACAUAGUCCACACUGCAUAUCGUGUGGAGCAAUAUAUAUUUUUUAACUACAACUCAAUCUUCAGAAGCUAGUGUUAGUAGUGAUCAUUUACAGGUUUGAGAAAAGCCUUUUAUCAUUUGCAAAGUCCUCUACUAUAUUGUAUUUAACUUGUGCAUUACACCUGAUUUUUCCUAUGAUAACCAAAAAAUACAAGUCUAUUCUUAUUUGGGUGACGGUGUCCAAUAUAAAGACAAUGCGUGUCGGCAAGUUUCUUAAUAAAUUCAGUACAACACCCCCGAGUGCAACUGAAAGACAACAAAACUUUGACAUUUGUACCAACCUUCAGCAAAAAAACUAUAUUAUAAACAUUAUACAUCAGGCUUACGUACAAGUGCCGAGUUUAGAAAAUUCAGUCUACCACCUCAGUAGACAACUGAAUGGCAACAAAACUUUGACAUUAAUACCUUAUACCACCUUCAACAAAGAAAAAACCUAAUUUUCUUAUAUCAAACCUCAGGCUUAAGUAAAAGUGCUGAAUUCAAAUUCUUUUCCCGAUUUUGAUAUAACAAAAUUUCCUUAUAAAAGGUACCAAAUAAAUAUUCACUAUCCAUACCCAACAAUCAAGAAAAUCAGCAUUCAAGAAAACAAAGUCCCCGCGGUUUACUGUCAAAUAAAGAACAAAUCUGCAAGAAUCUUAUGGAAACAAUCAAUGCACACAGUCCAGAAUUUAACAUUCAAAACCCUAAAUCUUCAGCAAUUAAACCCUCGCACAACCAAAUUUUAGCAAAAUUUAACACACACAGCUCAAUUCUAUAUCAAUCUCAUCAACAAAAAAUAACACCGUCAUCGAUAAAUAUAUAUAUGUGUACAUAUAGAGAGAGGAGGGAGGGGGAGAUAGAGGGAAGGGUAGAAAGGGAGAGAGAGAGAGAGAGAGAGGAGGGGCGAGUGGGGGAAAGGGGGAGAGAGGGAGAGAGAGAAGGAGGGAGAGAGAGAGAGGAGUGGGGAGAGGGGGAGAGAGAGAGAGAGAGGGAUUGCCUCUAGGAGGAUAACCAGCGAAGAGCAGAGUCUGAAGUGGACAGACGUCUGAAAACUAGAGAAGAAAUCCGCGACAAUUUCGUGGAACGGCCGGUGUUCGCCGGAAUUGAGCAGAGAGUAAAGAAGUUUGGAUUGUUGAAACGAAAUCAUUUUUCUUCACUGAUUUUGCUGCUCGCUUCUGCACUCAGGAUGUGUGUGUAUGUAUGCUGCCGUGUGUUUAUAUGUGUAUAGUGUAUCUCCCGCCGCGUGGGCGGUGGGCCAGAUACAAAAGAUAUAAAAAUACUAUGCACGAUACUUUCCCCUAAAAAUAUUAGCGAAAAAGUAAAAACUUUCCAAUUUUUGCCGAUUAUGCACUUUAUUCAUAGUUAUCUUAGAGCAACUCCAAGGCAACAUCUCCCUUACUUAUAAUGAGUCUACGUGGACAAAAAUAGGGGUUGAAGUAAAAAUUCUUCACUCCAACCAUCCUCUCCUUACCUAAAAUUUUUAGGUGAGAGAAAACAAAACCCCUUCUUUUGGGGAUAAAAAAGUGAGCCCCUAUUUCUUCCAACUCAUAAAUCUCUUUCAUUUUCUUUCACUUUUUAUGUUCCCUCCUUUUUUUUAUCUACCCCACCAUAGUAAAAAUUUUAAUAAAAUAUUUUUUUUUUCAAUUAUAGGGAUGAUUAUAGGGAAUACCAUUGGAGUAAAACAAAUUUUUGCUUACUUAUAUUUUAGGUAAUCAUUAUUUUAUUAUAUUUUAGGGAUCGAAAAUAAGUAACACCAUUGGAGUUGCUCUUAUAUCUUAUUCUUUUAUGAUCUUUUUAUAUGACAUAAAAAUACAAAUCAGAUUAUUCGAUAAAUAUAAAAAACAAGAAUUUACUGGAUUAAUAAAUAAUUACCGAAAGAUUUUAUCAACCCAACAAAUUACGGGAGUAGUCAAUGGUUGAUUAGAAUUAAUUAUCAAUUUUUAAAAUAAUAAUUAUAACUUGACAUUUCACUGUUUUAGAUAUUAUUCAAAAUACACUAAUAUAUGCAUAUAUAUGUAUUUUGACAACGUGUCGAGAUAAUUAUUAUUUGCAUUACAAAAUUCUAUUAUUGUAAAAUAAUAAUCGGUGUCUAUGAAAUUCCACGACUACUAUUCACAAAUCUAAUCAUAUGAAAUUCUAUUUUGUAUUAUUUUUCAUUCUAUACAUAUUACUUUCCAAUUUAUUAAAAUCUAAAUAUGAAUAAUGUGUGUUUUAUUGUUUUUUAUUGUUUAAAAUCGUUUUGAAGAGACAUGAUAAUCAAAUGAUGUGUUAUAAAUAAAAUAAUUAUCUAAUAAUAAUUUUUAUUUUGUAUAUUUGGAGGAGUAGUAUGGGAAAUGAUAUUUUUAAGUAUUUUUUUUUUUGCCAGCAUAUUUUUAAGUAUUUUAAUAUGAGGUCAUGAUAAUUUUCUGUAAAAGUGAAAAUAAUUUUUUCUGAAAUUUGGAAUGACCUGAAUUAUAUUUAAUAUUCAUGGUAAAAAAUAUGUGACCAUAACAAGUUAUUAUUUAGAAAUGUUUAAACUUUCUAACUAGUUUUUAAUAAAAUCAAUAUGAAUACGAAUAAAAUUUGAGGGGAAUUUUGUGUGACAUGAAAUAGCUACCGAAUUCUCCCAUCCACGAUCACUGAUAAACAAUAUAAGAAAUUUUGUGUAAUGAUUUUCAUAUUAUUUAUAUAAUUUUUAGUCCUAACACAUAAGAUGAAUUUUAAAUCGAGAAGGUGUUUUUACGAGAAGCAUUCUAAAUCAGAAUAAUGAUAAUAGUAAUAAGAGAUUAUUAAACAAUAUAUUAAUAAAAUAAAAAUUAAUAAAAUAAAAAUCAACAUAUCAAAAACAUCAGUAUAAAAUUUGAUCCAACAAUGUGUUAGUGAUGCCUUAUAUAGGACAACCUCCCCAAGCCCUAUUUUUGGGGCACAUCUCACCUUGCCCUAUUCAAUAAUUUAUUAUAAAUUCUCAUCACACUCUUUUUCUCUCUCUACUUUUAUAUUAUGCUUAAAUGAUGAAAGAGAGUCUUUAAUAAUAAAAUAUUAAACAUAGUGUGGGAAUAAAGCACAUUGUUGGAGUUCAAGUUAGUAAAGUAUGUCCUAAAUUAUUAGGACAUAAUAUUUUAUAUUAUAUUUGAGGCAUGAACUAGGACCCUCUUGGACUUGUUCUAACAGAAAAGCGUUCAGAUUAACAAAACUGACAGGGUAAAAAAUCAUCUGCUUGAAAUCACGGUUGUAAUUUUUUACCCCAUCAGAUAAAAGUAAAACAAGAAGUAUUUAUCCGUUGACUUUUCUGAUAACCCCUUUCUCCAAUCCACCUCUCUAUAAAUCAUCAUAAAACCUAAAAAUCUGUCUGCAAAUUUGUUCAAAUCCCACCAAAAUUUACCCUUCAAGCUAUUAUUAUAUGGAUUUUACAUGCAAAGUUUCAUCUUUAUCAUUAAAUUCAUCAAAAUCCCUGUUUUUGCUGCAAAUUUUGGUUCAAAUUUUGGCCCUUUUGCUUAUAUUUAACCCCUGGAUUGAAAGACACCAGUUUUAUACUAUUAGUUAGGGAAGGCCCAGGUGGGGUUGAAUUUGAGGUAUGUUGGUGUUGAUUUUUGGGUAAAGUUUGGAUUUUCAUGUUGUUUUUGUUUUACGCUUUUCUUGAUUCCUGGAGUUAACUUUUUGUGGGUAUGUGGAAUUUGUUUGAUUUGCGUGUUGUAAGUUUUUUGGUUAAUGUUAAGGUUGUGUAACGCUGUAUGAUUUUGUAUGCUUGAUUGAACUCGGAGAAAUUUAAUUUUUGUCGAAAAGUUAUAAUGUUGGUAGCAAAUUGUAUGAGGUUGAUGUUAUACAUGGUUACUAGAAGUACAUUGAGCUCUCAGCUCUUAUUACGAGUCGGGGGAUUGUCCAUGGUGUAAGUUUUGGUUAGACGUUAAGUAGUAGAUUUUUUUACUUGGCAAAUAAAGGGGGAACUAGUUUUUGGCAGAUGGGUUACUGGUAGUGGGAAUAACAGUGAUUGAGGAGUUUCAGUAUAUGCAUGUAAUAUGUCUAUCGACUCAAAUAGCAUUCUUGUAGCGGUUGCAAGUGAAACAGUUGCAGCAAUUAAGUCUUAGAAAAGGUACGAGUGCGAGCAACAAGUGCAGAAAUGAUUUUGUCUAGGCAAUAACAGGAUGAAAGUACUUGGGAGUUUUUUUAAUUUGAAUCUGCAACUUUAUGGACAUAUUUGAGUAGCUGUCAGGAAAACCUGAAGUUAGCUGAGCUAUAAGAUUUUAUGGUCCAUACCAGCUACAAGGUUCCUGAAGGAAUCGGGGACUAAUUAGGUCCUUCACUUGUCUUUCCAUAUUUCCCUAUAAAUUUGUUCAAGGUACAGUGAUCAGGUGAUGUUGAAGUAACAUUUCACAUGCUUCUGUUGAUGAAGGUGUAUCAGAAGUUGGACCUUCGAGGUUACCAAUACUGAGAACAAAGUAACAAGUCAUCUGCGUUUAUCCCUGAUGAUAUGAUUUGCAACCUCUCGCAUAACCUGGAGGAAGCUUAUGGUGGCGAUCAAUUACUUUUUUUGUGAUACGGUACAAGUCGCAGUUGGAUGCUAACCUUUUCUUUUUGGCAGUUGGGUAUAUUAUGUUAGUUUUUAUUAAUCAAUGCAUAUACAUUAUAGCCUAAAUUAAUUAAUCAUAUAUAUAUGCAGUUGCUCAAAUACAAACUAAAAUUAAAAUGAGAACUACAAACUAAUCAAAGCUCUUUGAUGAAUCUAAUCUAAUGCCCCCCAGAAGUCACCACACACAAUUUAAAUAUACCAUUUCACAUAUGAUCCCACAUAAUCCCCUCCAAUUCUAAUUUGAUUUUUCCCGUCAACCGGUGAGCUUUUGUUUAAAAAAAAAAUAAAAUCUUACUUCAGUGUGUUUUUCUUCAUCUCCCAACGAUCAAUUUGCAUACCAUAUGUGCUCUACUUCGAUGUGAUUUAGAAUUUUUUUUUAUUUUAUUUUCUAGUUUUUAUUUCAACGAUGUUUUUAUUGGAGUAGGAUCAUAUAUAUAUAUAUGUUGAAAAACUGUCAGUUUAGGAAUGAAUUAAUUGCAAAUAUAUAUUCUCACUCCCCUGGCUGAUAAUCUUGCAAGCAAAUAAUUCACCCCCUUGUAAGACAUUUGGUAGGCUUAGGAUAUGUUAUUGGGUCUUACUUCAUAUAUGUGUGUGUGUGUUUGUGUGUGUGUGUGUGAUUGAUGUGAUGAGCUGAGAGGAUUUUAAAGAGUGUUGGCUACCAUAAAUCAGUAAACUGAUGACUGAUGGUGUGUAUCGGUACAGGGGGAUAUCAGUUCAAUAAGAGACGCUGUACACUGUAGUUAUUAGGUUGCACGCUUUUCAUGCUUGUGUUUUAGCCUUUCACGUUGAUGCGGGUAGUGUAUCAUCUGACACGCCAGUAUAGAUUUUGUCUAUUUGAUAAAUAGGGCCUCAUUUUCUUAUGGAGGUACUGCGGACACUUUUAUUUUACAUUGGAGUAAGCAAGGCCUUCACCCUAUAAUAUAUUAAAUGACGGCGUAUAAUAUACGAGAGGUAAAUCUUUUCUAAGAUUUUAAAAAGUUAUCGCGGUUAAAAGAAGAUUUACUUGUAAUGUACGGUUGAAGUUAUUUACUGCAUCGGAUACAAAAGUAAAACGAGAAGAAUUUAUCUGUUGCUUUUAUUACAACCUCCCCCCCCCCCCCCCCCCCCCCCUCUAUCUCUAUAUGAAUCUUCUUCUGUACAUAUACAUCAUAUAUCUAAAUCUUCCUGCAGAUUCGACAAAAUCCUCAUUCAUUUAUCAUCUCUAAGUUUUAAUUAUACAGAUUUUAUAUUCAUAUAUAUCAUCAUCAUCUUCAUCAAAAUCUCUGUUCUUUAAACUUUGAUCUGAUUGUUGUCUUUGUUGUUUAUGUUCAAUCUGUGGAUUCAAAAGCACCAGAGUUAUAUACUAUUAUAUAGAACAACACCCAGGUUGAUAAAAAAUUCAAGGUAUGUUGUUUUUGAUAUAUGAUUAAAGUUUAUUUUUUUUGGUGCUGGUAUGUUAUUUAAAAAAUAAAUAAAUUAAAGUUAACUUUUUGAGUGUGCAAGAUUAAGCUUUGUUGCUAAAAAUAUUGUUCUUUUGGUGUAUACAUAUAUGUUUAUGGAUUAGAGUAUAUGGAUUUUGGGUAUAAAUUAUAAUGCUUUAUGGUUCGGUAUAUUUUUCCCCAAAUGUUGUUAUGUUUAUGGCAAAGUGCACUCUGGAUAAUGUUUUAUAUGCUAGUUGCAAGUUCAUUGAUCUCAAACCACAUGGGAAGCCUGAAAGCCUUACAGUUAAAUAAGUCUGGGGAUAGUCAUUGGGAUAAGUCUCGGGUAGAUGGGGAGUGGGUUAGAAGUAGUGGUAUGAACGGUCUUAAUAAGUUUCACGAAGUUUAUUUAGACGGGGAUGCUAAAAACCCUUUACUGAAGGUUGAAGGAUAUAUGCAAGAGAUGAGAGAAUAUAUGUCCUCUAUAUAUGGAAUAUAGUUACUUAAGUAGCAUUCUUGGAAGAAUUGUAAGAGAAACAGUUGCAGCAAUUCCUUUUUAGUAAAGUAUAAUUGCGAAGCAAAUAGUGGGGAAAUGAUUUCAUUUGGGCACAUUUUAGGAUGAAAGUACUUGGGUUUUUGGUGAAUUUGAAUUUACAACUUAACUUACAAAUUUGAGUAGUGUCAGGAAGAAACAUAUUGGUGCUGCUGAACUAACAAGUCAGCAACCUCUUGACAAACCUGGAGGAAGCAAUUUAUAGAGGUCAACCACAAUUUAUGAGGUCAACCACUUUUAUGCAAUAGAAAUCUCAUUUGGAUGCACAGUCUUUUGGCCUUACAGUUGAAUGCAUAUUGAAUAUUUUACGGACAUAAAAUGAUAAAGUUUUUGGACGCACUGCUCAUUAUUGGCAUGAUGAAGAUUUUAAUUGGGUUUGCUGCUGUAGAAUUUGUGGUUAUUGUUUGUAUUCGGAGUUCAGGGGGUUCAGUCACAGAAUUUUUUCAAGAAUAUUUUCUUUUUAAUUAUUUAAGUUGAUUAGUGUGCAUUCGAAUACCAUUUUUAGAUUUGGGGUGGACACCUGAUGGACAUGUGAUUUCGCUCUGUACUGGUUUAAUCUUACUUUCCAUUGUCUAUCAAGUAAGUUUACUUUGCAGGAGACUCAUUUAAAGUUCUAAAAUGGCCGGAUUUGUCAGGUUCCCUAGCUCUGAACAUUAGAGUAUAGCAGAUGUUUAGUGAGAGCCACUUGUAUUUUAAGUUGCUUUGGAAAGCUUUUCGCAGACUUACUCUUUUAUGUAUCCACACACACAGAAACACACGUGACUUAUGAUGAGCGAUGACCUUUCUUGUGUAAGAGGCUGCCAAUAUGUGUUUGUGUGUGUGUUUUGGGUCUUGAAUCUGUCAGUUAUUCGGGCAGAUUUUUGACUUUUUGUGUCUAGUUAUGUACUUAUCUGUUUUCCUAUGUGCCCAUUCCUGGCCAGGUAAAUUUAAGUUAUGAAAGAUUUCGAAUAAUUUAUUCCUAUAUGUAUAGAAGGGUUUUUAUCUUUCUGUUUUUUUAAUUUGUUUACAUUUGUUGCUUUAUAUUUUUAGGUUUGGAGGUCUUCGAAGACCUUUUAAUCGUCAAUUGUUGGGUCAUUGAUAUCAAAGUAAAAGAUUUUUGGCCAAGAAAGAAGUAUUUCAUCACGUGGUAUCCAGUUUGCAUGUGACAAUGUCAGCAAGGAAAUUUAAGAAUGCAGGAUGGGCUGCGUAUAAUUCAAAGCAACAACAGGCUACAGGCCUUAGAUCAAAAGCUUGCGAGGAGCCUUUUCCACCUAUAUCAAGUACUACCAUACCUAAGAAUCACACAGGCUUAGUGAAAAAUAAUCAUAAUGUGGCACAGUCUUUUUCUUCCGUGCUUCUACCCUCGGCUAAUUUUCCAACAUUGGGGGCUAAUAAGGAUAUUGAGAAAUCAUUACCGAGAGGAAGUUGUACAAAUGAAGUUAUUUUAAAAAAAUGUCAGGACAAUGGCAAUGGGGUUUAUGAGAAGCUGAAAAAGCUUCAUCCCUGGGCUGAGAAAAGUUUGAUUGAAGAUAUUAUGGAAGCUGUGAAUAAUGACAUUGACAGGGCCUCAGAUCUCUUAAAAGAAAUGGUUUCUUCUACGAGUCUUCAUGAAAAAAAGGAAACAGAAGUUACGGAUUUUAGAUACAAUGCUGAAAAUUUCUACUCAGAGAACAAUACUUUUUUGACUGAUAUAGAUCUGACUUUACGUGAGACCCAAGAUCUUGUAGGAAUUAGCUAUGGGCAUCAAGAUGAUAUUGUAUCUAGGAAUAAAGAGCUGACUGCUGAUACUUCUGCAUUUGGAAAAGGCCAUCCUGAUCAUUCAACAAGUGAACUCCAGAGUCUGCGUAGCUUGACUAAUAUUCCUGUUGAGCCUGAAUGGGAAGAGGACGAUGUUUACUUGGUUAAUCGGAAAGAUGCAAUGAGAAUGAUGAGGUGUGUAAUGAGCAUCCCUAACCAAACCCAAAAAAAAAUGUUUGAUUAUUAUAUUACCUAGCAGUUUUGGUUAUGUUUUCUUACAAACAUCCAUUAUGUUUUUUAGUCACUCCUUGAUGUUUUGUGGAACAGGUUAGCUUCACGGCAUUCAAAGGCGGCCAGUGAUGCUUAUUUAAGAGGUGAUCACUUAUCUGCCCAACAAUAUUCCAUGAGGGCCAGGGAAGAAUGGAAGGAAGCUGAAAAGUAUAACGCAGUGGCAGCAAAGGAAAUCCUAAGAAAAAGGAAUUGUGAAAAUGAUUUGUGGAAACUGGACUUGCAUGGUCUGCAUGCAUCGGAAGCAGUUCAGGCGUUAGAGGAACACUUGCAUAAAAUUGAGUCUCAGUUUGCACCUUUUACCAAUCCAGUCAACACCACAAACAUGGUAAGAUCUGCCUCUCUGGACUCAUUAGGUAAGGAGAAGUUCGAUAAGCAGAAGGCAUCAUUUAGGCCCAGGUCAACAGUAUUAGAAGUUAUAACAGGUAUGCUAUAGUGCCUUUUUCUUAUAACAGUGGCUACUCCUUGAUAGAUCGAGAAUUAUGCUCAAUUUAUAUGCUAAACGUCUGUCCUUUUUUAGUUUAUGUACACUGAAUUGUGUCUGUUUAGUUUAUUCCUGUACUUAAUGUUAAUUGUUGUGUGGAAAUUAUGGGAGUAGCUAGGACUUGAUCAGGGUAGACUCUUUCCGUGAGUGUAGUACCUAGCAUGAGGUAGUAGAUGUUAAUUAGCUAAGCACAUGUUACAUCUCUAGUAGACACUCACGCGGCAUGUGACUAUCCCUGUUAAAUUAUCUUCCUAAGUUGAUUUAAAUCUUGAAACUAUAAACUAUGUUACCCGGACUUGGCUUAAAGUGUCCAACAUAUAUAUGUGUCCAAGUGUUGGGCUCGGCAAUAUUUAGAAAAUAUUACCUGUUUCCUGCCUAUAAUAAGUAUCGGAGUGUCAAUACUCAUGUCCGAGUUUCGAGUUUCCGACAGGGUUACUCGAGGCAAAUUCAUAAAUAGGGGUAAGAGAGACUAUAAGACUCUCUCUAUUAAUACUCACCUCUCCAGUUAAGUCCGACACUCCUUGAUUUUAAUUGAUUGUUACAUCUCCAGUUGAGCCCGAUCCUCAUUGUUUUUGCUGUGAGUAACAAUCCUAUAUUAUGAUGACUUGAGUACCUUAGGAAGAAAAUAGCGGGCCAAUGCAAGAGUUAUUAGGUUUUAAAUAUUUUGUUCACUAAGCGUAUCGUUUUGUCUUCUUCUCACCUACUGAUAACUUAUUUUGUGUUGACAUUCCCUAAGAUACUAAAAGUCCUUCGUAGUUGCUUCCAAAUGACAUGUGUCCAUCGGACCUUUAAAUUUAGGCGUGUUCUUUUUUUUCCCUGCAGGCAUAGGACUUCACAGUCGAGGGCAAGCUGCACUUCCAAGUGCCAUUGAAACGUUUCUUAGUGAAAACAAGUGAGUCCUCUCCCUCUCUUUCGUUCCAUUAAUGCCAUCCUUUCCUUUUCUAUUCCAAAGUUGCAUUUAUAGGUCUAUUUCAUAACCAGACACUUAAAGGUGUUAACGGGGUUGAGCUCAUACUCUGAUUACACGGGGAAGAUAAUUAAUGACACCUGUAAUUUUGCAGAUACCAUUAUGACAAGGCUCGGCCUGGGAUGAUAGCAGUUCGACCCAAGUAUAGGCGCAUGUAAAUGUAUAAUUUAUACUUCUGAUAGAGGACGGGCCAUGCGAGCCGCGGUCUCAUUGUGGACAGUAUAGACAAUGUGCAAAUUGUUAUUAGAUUAGUUCGAAUAGCAAUGACCACACAUAAUCAGCAAAGCAGAAACAAUGAGCACACAAUUUGCUGAAGUAAUAUUUAAUUUAAGAUUGCAUAAUCAUGGCAGUAUUGAACUGAAGGCCUAGACUAUUAUUCUCUGUUUGACGCUCAAGGGCCAAACUCAAGGGCCAGUUUGGCUUAUCAUAUUUUUCGGGACGCAAAAGUGUUAUAUUUUAUGUGGAGACAAGUACUUAUUUUUGUCCGAACAUGUUCUUUAUUUGAUUUUCUUUGCUAGUCCUAAUAUACACAUGUGAAUAUAUUUUUAUAUAACAAUGUAAAUAUAUUUUCCAUGUGAAUUGAAAAAGUAAAUAAUUUCAAAAAAAAUAUCCAGCGGGUAAUAAUCUUGAAAUUGAUUAUUUUCAUAAAUUUUAUUAAAACAUGAUUAAAAUUAUCAUUCUUUUAACUAUAAACUAGAAGAUGUGUAUGUAUGAUUUCAAAAAAAAAAAAAGAGAGAAUAUGUAUGUAUAGUUUUUCUGUGAACACUCACAAGUCUUUAUAAAUUAAAAAAUGAUAUUUUUUCCACCCUCGAUUUCGUUGAAUUGUUAUUAUUUCUUUUAUGUUACUUGACAUGCAUUUUAAAUCAUGCACAUAAAAUAUAAUUUUAUAAUUUAUUUUUAAUUUCUUUAUAGCAAAAAAAUAAAAUAAUUAAUGAAACUAAUCAGAAGGGACAGAAAUAAUAAUUAGUUAACAAACAAUGUAACAAAUUAUUUACUGAAAAUAUAUUACAUAUUAUUCUUUUUUUCUGUUUCGAUCAUCAUCCGUUACAAAAUAUCAAGCUAUUCCAUUAAUUUUCCUAAAAAAAAACUGAGUUCGAAUUCAGCUAAUCUAUCUAUCUAUAUCUAUAUCUAUAUCUAUAUCUAUAUCUAUAUAAUCCUAAUCUGUGAAUACAAAGGAUAUGCCAAAUGACCUUUUCUGCCCUUCAUUUUAUUUUCUUUGUAUACUGCCCAGGGUGCUACACGUAAAUAAACAAGCUGCUUGGAUCAUCCACAAGAUAACGGGUACUGACCCAGUUCAAAUUGCAACUGCUUCCAGCUUUAAUUACCAGAGGACCCGAAAUUGAGCGGGCGAUCCAGAAUAUUUUUCGAAUUUGAUGGUCGGUUAUGUCAGCCCAUAAUCUCAGUAGUUAUUUUCCGAAUUAUUUUGACGAGAAACUGCUCCCGCUGAAAGGGCCAUUAAUCAUCUUUUUACUGGCAAUUUUGAAUCAUAUAUGAGGCAAGUAUCUUAUCUUUCCAUUUCCUCCAUCAUUCCAUGAUCACGCUUCGUCUUUCUUGCUUAAUGGAUCGGACGGGUUUCGUCGUACUACAAGGCGAAUGUAGUGUCCUCCUUAUCCAUUAUCUCCUUCUUCUCAGAUUGGUGAGUAACAACAACGGCUUUGUGUAAUUCAAAAGUUUCAUCUCAGUUUCUUGAAGAUUUGCAGAUUAUCAUGUAUCCGUCAGAUUCGGUUGGAUUAUACUCUUUGUUUUUUUUGCUUCGUGUUUACUAAAAUUAUAGUCCAACUGUUCGAAGAAAUGCUUCAAAUAAUUAUCUAUGCAUAACUGUAUUUUUUUGUUAAUUAUCUCACAACACAUUGUUGUAUCAAACAAAGUUUUAUAUUUUGUUCUUGGUAAUAUAAACUGGUAUUUCAGAUUUCGGUUUGUUACAAUUAAAAUUCACCUCCUUUGAAUUUUCCUGCAGUAAGCACAUUAGGAGCAAGUAUCUUCACAUCUCCACAUUUCUGAUAGGAUUCGCUUUUUGUUCCAGAUGUACUACAUUGCCUGAAUUUGUUGAUUCUUGGGCCAAAGAGCUCUUCCUUUAGUAUCGGCAACAGAAUGAAGCUUAUGCACAGGCUUAGAAAUACCUCUAACAAUGCUUCUGACUGACCUACUACGACAAGGUAGGCCAACUAUAUCUAGACUAUGUUUCUUCAUUUCUUUUAUGAGGCACUUUUAUCUUUAAACGGUUCAAAUAUAGAUUAGUCUGCAGUUGGUUUAAGACUUUAAGGUACAUUACGUAUCAGUUGUUUUUUGAGCUUAAGAUAAAGAUACUAUAUAUAUGGCCAAAUCACUUACACUCAUUCUUUUCCUGUUUUGUUUUUCAUGGAUACUAUUAGGGCAC
RNAcentral lists this long non-coding RNA (24568 nucleotides) under Daucus carota (carrot). RNAcentral's name for it is "long non-coding RNA (DCAR_LNC004640)". Lineage: Eukaryota; Viridiplantae; Streptophyta; Magnoliopsida; Apiales; Apiaceae. The record is from RNAcentral.